Balaenoptera musculus (blue whale) is the source of this 107-nucleotide small nuclear RNA. The record is from Ensembl. NCBI's taxonomy places the organism in Eukaryota, Metazoa, Chordata, Mammalia, Artiodactyla, Balaenopteridae.
GUGCUUGCUUAGGCAGCACAUUUACUAAAAUCGGAACAAUACAGAGUAGAUUAGCAUGGCCCCUGCACAGAGAUGACAUGCAAAUUAGUGAAGUGUUCCAUAUUUCU